GCUCAACCGGGGAGGGUCAUUGGAAACUGGGGAACUUGAGUGCAGAAGAGGAGAGUGGAAUUCCACGUGUAGCGGUGAAAUGCGUAGAGAUGUGGAGGAACACCAGUGGCGAAGGCGACUCUCUGGUCUGUAACUGACGCUGAGGCGCGAAAGCGUGGGGAGCGAACAGGAUUAGAUACCCUGGUAGUCCACGCCGUAAACGAUGAGUGCUAAGUGUUAGAGGGUUUCCGCCCUUUAGUGCUGCAGCAAACGCAUUAAGCACUCCGCCUGGGGAGUACGGUCGCAAGACUGAAACUCAAAGGAAUUGACGGGGGCCCGCACAAGCGGUGGAGCAUGUGGUUUAAUUCGAAGCAACGCGAAGAACCUUACCAGGUCUUGACAUCCUCUGGCAACCCUAGAGAUAGGGCUUCCCCUUCGGGGGCAGAGUGACAGGUGGUGCAUGGUUGUCGUCAGCUCGUGUCGUGAGAUGUUGGGUUAAGUCCCGCAACGAGCGCAACCCUUGAUCUUAGUUGCCAGCAUUCAGUUGGGCACUCUAAGGUGACUGCCUGUGACAAACCGGAGGAAGGUGGGGAUGACGUCAAAUCAUCAUGCCCCUUAUGACCUGUGCUACACACGUGCUACAAUGGCAGAACAAAG
This 636-nucleotide ribosomal RNA is filed under the name uncultured bacterium. RNAcentral's name for it is "bacterial SSU rRNA". It matches the Rfam family "Bacterial small subunit ribosomal RNA", at positions 607 to 1244 of the family's 1533-position model. The record is from RNAcentral.